Long non-coding RNA from Sarcophilus harrisii (Tasmanian devil), 407 nucleotides. RefSeq lists it as uncharacterized. NCBI's taxonomy places the organism in Eukaryota, Metazoa, Chordata, Mammalia, Dasyuromorphia, Dasyuridae. The transcript is spliced from 3 exons. The record is from RefSeq and is a predicted model, not a curated record.
UUGCACAAAAAAUUAUUACUAUUAUUAUUUGAGAAAGAAUGACUAUUAAAUCCCUCUCUCUAUGAUACCCAAGGUCACAUGAUCUCAGAUACCUCCAAAUAGAUUCAAAAUAUAAACUCUGGUCAUUUCCCUAAUAGAAGCUGACAUGCUUCAGGCUUUUGAAUGGACACAAGGACUCUGGACCAAAACAGGGCUAAAGGAAUUUGCAAAUUGAAGGUAUAAUGAAGACCAUCAGACCAUGGGAGUCCAUUUUCUCACCUUUUUCAGUUUCCUUCCUCUUAUUCCAGAUGCUCACAUUGACCUCAGGUGAGGAAGAGAUGAUGUCAAUGGAUCCGAGGUGGGAAAGAUGAUGAGGGACGUCAUUGGCUUCUGGAUGGUCCUUCACAUGUAUUUAGUACAUAUGUAUU